UCAAACUUGGUCAUUUAGAGGAAGUACAAGUCGUAACAAGGUAUCCGUAGGUGAACCUGCGGAUGGAUCAUUACCAAGAGUACCACUCUGCGUACUGUGAACUGCACUGCUGCGGAGGCUGUCGGCGGCGCAUGCUGCCGGCGAUGCCGAGCCGAACGUAUCUGCUGUGAUCUUACAUGUGUUGUUGAAACAAACAACUUUUAGCAAUGGAUCUCUUGGCUCUCAAACUUGGUCAUUUAGAGGAAGUACAAGUCGUAACAAGGUAUCCGUAGGUGAACCUGCGGAUGGAUCAUUACCAAGAGUACCACUCUGCGUACUGUGAACUGCACUGCUGCGGAGGCUGUCGGCGGCGCAUGCUGCCGGCGAUGCCGAGCCGAACGUAUCUGCUGUGAUCUUACAUGUGUUGUUGAAACAAACAACUUUUAGCAAUGGAUCUCUUGGCUCUCGCAUCGAUGAAGAACGCAGC
Molecule: unclassified non-coding RNA, 466 nt
Filed under: uncultured fungus
Lineage: Eukaryota; Fungi
Description: partial contains small subunit ribosomal RNA, internal transcribed spacer 1, and 5.8S ribosomal RNA
Rfam family: Eukaryotic small subunit ribosomal RNA (bases 1-73)
Source: RNAcentral